GAUGAACGCUGGCGGCGUGCCUAAUACGUGCAAGUCGAGCGAACAGAUGAGGAGCUUGCUCCUCUGACGUUAGCGGCGGACGGGUGAGUAACACGUGGAUAACCUACCUAUAAGACUGGGAUAACUUCGGGAAACCGGAGCUAAUACCGUAUAAUAUAUUGAACCGCAUGGUUCAAUAGUGAAAUACGGUUUUGCUGUCACUUCUAGAUGGAUCCGCGCCGCAUUAGCUAGUUGGUAAGGUAACGGCUUACCAAGGCAACGAUGCGUAGCCGACCUGAGAGGGUGAUCGGCCACACUGGAACUGAGACACGGUCCAGACUCCUACGGGAGGCAGCAGUAGGGAAUCUUCCGCAAUGGGCGAAAGCCUGACGGAGCAACGCCGCGUGAGUGAUGAAGGUCUUCGGAUCGUAAAACUCUGUUAUUAGGGAAGAACAAAUGUGUAAGUAACUAUGCACGUCUUGACGGUACCUAAUCAGAAAGCCACGGCUAACUACGUG
This 497-nucleotide ribosomal RNA is filed under the name uncultured bacterium. RNAcentral's name for it is "partial 16S ribosomal RNA". It matches the Rfam family "Bacterial small subunit ribosomal RNA", at positions 28 to 507 of the family's 1533-position model. The record is from RNAcentral.